Molecule: long non-coding RNA, 576 nt
Organism: Aegilops tauschii subsp. strangulata
Lineage: Eukaryota; Viridiplantae; Streptophyta; Magnoliopsida; Poales; Poaceae
Source: RefSeq, a predicted model, not a curated record
AAACGCCCGCAGAAUGAGCUGCUCGUUAACACAUUUCGCAGAUCAGAUCAAUCAGUAAAGAGAAGAGAGGAUAUCAAUACACAACUAUCAUUUGUACCUUGUGAUGGCGAUUAGUAAGAGAAAUGCAAGCCUUUUGUGCUUCACAUCGCUCAUGUUGGUGAUGGCCACUUUGAUGUUGCCUUGUUAUGCUGACCGAAAAGAAUAUUGUGGAUGGAUUAAAGAUGGAUGCACCUAUCACAAGUGCAAGGAUUGGUGCGCUGGACAGGGUUACCCCAAGAGAUUUAAGUGUGUGGACGCCGAGAAUUGUUGCUGUUUGCUUACCGCCAAGCCCAGGGUGGAUGUCGUCCGUCGUUAUGUUGACCGCCGCCGAAUGUUGUUUUCCAUUAUUAGAUAUAUAACAAAAGGCCCGUGCAUUGAAACGGGUCCAAAAUAAAUAAAUUUUAAACAGAAAUAUGUAGCAUCUCCCAUCAUCAUUGCAUAAAGUGAGUCAUCAACAUGCAGAUUCAUAAAUUUGUGAAUUUGGCCCAAAAAUGAAAGCUUGCAAAUUACAUGCAUGCUCUUAUACAUAGAGAAAGA